CCUACGGGUGGCUGCAGUGGGGGAUAUUGCACAAUGGGGGGAACCCUGAUGCAGCGACGCCGCGUGGGUGAAGGAGUGCUUCGGCAUGUAAAGCCCUAUCGGCAGGGAAGAAGCAAGACGGUACCUGACUAAGAAGCCCCGGCUAACUACGUGCCAGCAGCCGCGGUAAUACGUAGGGGGCGAGCGUUAUCCGGAUUCACUGGGUGUAAAGGGAGCGUAGACGGCCAAGCAAGCCAGGGGUGAAAGCCCGGGGCCCAACCCCGGGACUGCCCUUGGAACUGCAUGGCUGGAGUGCGGGAGGGGCAGGCGGAAUUCCUGGUGUAGCGGUGAAAUGCGUAGAUAUCAGGAGGAACACCGGCGGCGAAGGCAGCUUACUAAACUGCCACUGACAUUGAUGCUCGAAAGUGUGGGUAUCAAACAGGAUUAGAUACCCUAGUAGUC
This 441-nucleotide ribosomal RNA is filed under the name uncultured bacterium. RNAcentral describes it as "partial 16S ribosomal RNA". It matches the Rfam family "Bacterial small subunit ribosomal RNA", at positions 338 to 795 of the family's 1533-position model. The record is from RNAcentral.